GAGGGUACAGCUCAAGUGGUAGAGAGCAUGCUUAGCAUGCAUGGGUCCUGGGUUCAAUCCCCAGUACCUCUU
RNAcentral lists this transfer RNA (72 nucleotides) under Camelus bactrianus (Bactrian camel). It matches the Rfam family "tRNA". Rfam says of the family: Transfer RNA (tRNA) molecules are approximately 80 nucleotides in length. Their secondary structure includes four short double-helical elements and three loops (D, anti-codon, and T loops). Further hydrogen bonds mediate the characteristic L-shaped molecular structure. tRNAs have two regions of fundamental functional importance: the anti-codon, which is responsible for specific mRNA codon recognition, and the 3' end, to which the tRNAs corresponding amino acid is attached (by aminoacyl-tRNA synthetases). tRNAs cope with the degeneracy of the genetic code in two manners: having more than one tRNA (with a specific anti-codon) for a particular amino acid; and 'wobble' base-pairing, i.e. permitting non-standard base-pairing at the 3rd anti-codon position. The record is from Rfam by way of RNAcentral. Lineage: Eukaryota; Metazoa; Chordata; Mammalia; Artiodactyla; Camelidae. RNAcentral also lists the same sequence under 2 other names.